AUGAAGAACGUAGCGAAAUGCGAUAAGUAAUGUGAAUUGCAGAAUUCAGUGAAUCAUCGAAUCUUUGAACGCACAUUGCGCCCGCCAGUAUUCUGGCGGGCAUGCCUGUCCGAGCGUCAUUUCAACCCUCGAACCCCUCCGGGGGGUCGGCGUUGGGGAUCGGCCCUGCCUCUUGGCGGUGGCCGUCUCCGAAAUACAGUGGCGGUCUCGCCGCAGCCUCUCCUGCGCAGUAGUUUGCACACUCGCAUCGGGAGCGCGGCGCGUCCACAGCCGUUAAACACCCAACUUCUGAAAUGUUGACCUCGGAUCAGGUAGGAAUACCCGCUGAACUUAAGCAUAUCAAUAAGUGGAGGA
RNAcentral lists this unclassified non-coding RNA (354 nucleotides) under soil metagenome. Its description in RNAcentral is "partial contains 5.8S ribosomal RNA, internal transcribed spacer 2, and large subunit ribosomal RNA". The stretch from base 1 to 119 matches the Rfam family "5.8S ribosomal RNA", at positions 36 to 154 of the family's 154-position model. The record is from RNAcentral.